GACGAACGCUGGCGGCGUGCUUAACACAUGCAAGUCGAACGAAGAGCGAUGGAAGCUUGCUUCUAUGAAUCUUAGUGGCGAACGGGUGAGUAACGCGUAAUCAACCUGCCCUUCAGAGGGGGACAACAGUUGGAAACGACUGCUAAUACCGCAUACGAUCUAAUCUCGGCAUCGAGGAUAGAUGAAAGGUGGCCUCUACAUGUAAGCUAUCACUGAAGGAGGGGAUUGCGUCUGAUUAGCUAGUUGGAGGGGUAACGGCCCACCAAGGCGAUGAUCAGUAGCCGGUCUGAGAGGAUGAACGGCCACAUUGGGACUGAGACACGGCCCAGACUCCUACGGGAGGCAGCAGUGGGGAAUCUUCCGCAAUGGACGAAAGUCUGACGGAGCAACGCCGCGUGAGCGAUGACGGCCUUCGGGUUGUAAAGCUCUGUUAAUCGGGACGAAAGGCCUUCUUGCGAAUAGUGAGAAGGAUUGACGGUACCGGAAUAGAAAGCCACGGCUAACUACGUG
RNAcentral lists this ribosomal RNA (510 nucleotides) under uncultured bacterium. Its description in RNAcentral is "partial 16S ribosomal RNA". It matches the Rfam family "Bacterial small subunit ribosomal RNA", at positions 28 to 507 of the family's 1533-position model. The record is from RNAcentral.